Long non-coding RNA from Zonotrichia albicollis (white-throated sparrow), 1074 nucleotides. RefSeq lists it as uncharacterized. NCBI's taxonomy places the organism in Eukaryota, Metazoa, Chordata, Aves, Passeriformes, Passerellidae. The record is from RefSeq and is a predicted model, not a curated record.
UGGGCACAGGGAUGGGCACAGGUCUGUCCUGAGCGGGGAUGGGCACAGGGAUGGACACAGGGAUGGGCACAGGUAUGUUCCCAGCAGGGAUUGGCACAGGGAUGGACACAGGGAUGUUGGGGCUGUGACCCCCAGGGGACCCCCACCCCUCCAUGCCACAGCAGUGGGACCCUGGCAGUGCCCCAGGCUGCAGGUGCUGUUGCAGAGGGGUCCCUGCCAGGGCAGCAGGCUGUGGGCAGCCCAGGGGGUGCAGCCUUGGCCCUCCCUCACCCUCUGUCCUGCCAAGGCCAAACCAUUUGGGGCUGAUGUGGCCUCACUGACACCGACCCACAUCGGAGCGGCCCAGCUGCGUCCUGGCCCGUGUCCCUUCCCCUCCUGGGUUCUUUGGCACAGCUGGAGCUCCUUUCCCACCCGCCAACAGCAUCAGCUGCAGCUUCUUAUCAGCUCUGGGUGCAAUCCAGGCUGGAACCGAGUGAGAGGCUCCUGCUGGUGCCAGGGGAGGAGUGUUUGGAGCAGGCAGACCUCGUGCUGCAGCUCCUGAUGUGGAGCAGCAGGUGAUUUGGGCUGCAAAGGGAAAGUGGAAGCUCUCCAGGGCCACCCUGUGAGCCAGCCAGUGCUCACCAUGAGCAGGAUUUCCCACCAAGAUGAUGUGAACACCUGGGGUGACAAGAGGAUGCUGCUGGACAUGCACUGCAGGUCCCACCCCAGAGAGUGGCAGAGCAGACCCUGAGAGGACAACCCAGCUCAACACAGGACAUUGCUGUGGAUCCAGCUGAGGGAAAAUGCCUGCAAAGCAAACCCCUGGAACUGUGGCACUGCUUGGAUACAGCCCUGGGAGCAAGCCCAGCACUCAGUAACUGUGCUGUGAGCCUGUGUGCUGCAGGUGAGCUGCUCUGGGGGCCACGUGGGGCUGGGGAGCUGCUGUCAGCAGCAAAUGCCAUUUCUGCUCAGUGUCAGCCCCGGUGACACAGCCCAGCCCCAGCCCUGCCGCCUCUGACUGAUCCUGUCUAAAUGCUCCUUUCCCCAGCACCAACCUGUUUGUUCCUGUGGCAAUUACCUCCCCUGCCAACGUGU